GACGAACGCUGGCGGCGUGCUUAACACAUGCAAGUCGAGCGGUAAGGCCCUUUCGGGGGUACGACGAGCGGCGAACGGGUGAGUAACACGUGGGUGACCUGCCCUUAGCUCUGGGAUAAGCCUGGGAAACUGGGUCUAAUACCGGAUAUGACUCCAUAACGCAUGUUGUGGGGUGGAAAGCCUUGUGCGGCUAGGGAUGGGCCCGCGGCCUAUCAGCUUGUUGGGUGGGGUGAUGGCCACCAAGGCGACGACGGGUAGCCGGCCUGAGAGGGCGACCGGCCACACUGGGACUGAGACACGGCCCAGACUCCUACGGGAGGCAGCAGUGGGAAUCUUGCGCAAUGGGCGAAAGCCUGACGCAGCGACGCCGCGUGGGGA
RNAcentral lists this ribosomal RNA (378 nucleotides) under uncultured bacterium. Its description in RNAcentral is "bacterial SSU rRNA". It matches the Rfam family "Bacterial small subunit ribosomal RNA", at positions 28 to 407 of the family's 1533-position model. The record is from RNAcentral.